This 636-nucleotide ribosomal RNA is filed under the name Tomentella stipitata. RNAcentral's name for it is "partial large subunit ribosomal RNA". It matches the Rfam family "Eukaryotic large subunit ribosomal RNA", at positions 35 to 652 of the family's 3401-position model. Lineage: Eukaryota; Fungi; Basidiomycota; Agaricomycetes; Thelephorales; Thelephoraceae. The record is from RNAcentral.
UAAGCAUAUCAAUAAGCGGAGGAAAAGAAACUAACAAGGAUUCCCUUAGUAACUGCGAGUGAAGCGGGAAGAGCUCAAAUUUAAAAUCUGGCGUGCCUCUGGCCGUUCGAGUUGUAGUUUGGAGAAGCGUUUUCCGUGUUGGACCGUGUAUAAGUUUCCUGGAACAGGGCGUCAUAGAGGGUGAGAAUCCCGUCUUUGACACGGACUACCAAUGCUUUGUGAUGCGCUCUCAAAGAGUCGAGUUGUUUGGGAAUGCAGCUCAAAAUGGGUGGUAAAUUCCAUUUAAAGCUAAAUAUAGGCGAGAGACCGAUAGCGAACAAGUACCGUGAGGGAAAGAUGAAAAGCACUUUGGAAAGAGAGUUAAACAGUACGUGAAAUUGCUGAAAGGGAAACGCUUGAAGUCAGUCACAUCUGCCAGGACUCAGCCUUGCUUUUGCUUGGUGCACUUUCUGGUUUGAUGGGCCAACAUCGAUUUUGACCGUUGGAGAAAGGCUUUGGGAAUGUGGCACCUUCGGGUGUGUUAUAGCCCUCUGUUGUAUACAACGGUUGGGAUCGAGGACCGCAGCACGCCUUCAUGGCCGGGGUCCGCCCACGUACGUGCUUAGGAUGUUGGCAUAAUGGCUUUAAGCGACCCGU